This 2055-nucleotide long non-coding RNA is filed under the name Nicotiana benthamiana. RNAcentral's name for it is "long non-coding RNA (NBEN_LNC017361)". Lineage: Eukaryota; Viridiplantae; Streptophyta; Magnoliopsida; Solanales; Solanaceae. The record is from RNAcentral.
AAAUAAGAUAGGAAGUUUUACGUGGAAAAAUCCCUGCUUAAGGGGAUAAAAAACCACAACCUACACUGGUAGAAUUUUAAUUUCACAAUGAACAACUUUUAGAUUACAACCUAUGCUAUCGAGAAAUUAAACUCUUAAUCCCUCACUAACUCGUAAUACACCUAUUACAAGCCAUUUGCAAUACACGCAUUACAAAGACUUCAACUCAGGUCUAACUCUAGUCACGACACAAACACACAUGGUAUAUGGUUUUACAAAGGGGUUUCUAAGUAACGCUUCUAGCUAAGCAGUUUAGGAAUUACAAUGAAGAACAAUUACAAAGUUACAACUCAACAAAGGACAAUAAAAUACCAGAUUUAGGAACUAGUCCGUAGUAGCAUUUUACUUUGUUCUUGAGGCUCUUGAGAGUUAGAUUCACUAUCUCUGAAGGCUUGAAUGCUUGAAGUGAAUUCUCAAGUGUUCAAGUGAUGUUUUGUUAUAAUACUCUUGUUAAUACACUUUUGAUGACAUCACUUGAAUGAUGUAAGCACUUGGUUGGUCAAAAGGACAAGUGACUCCAAAACUGCUGCACUAUCUGCACCGUUUCUGUGGCUGUCACUUUCCAGGUGUGCACAGUUGACUUUCGUACUGUUGUGAGGGAAAUACAAGGGAUCACAUUAUCGAUACUUGCAGCAAUUCACAUUAGCUAGAGUCAUGGCUGGAAUCGGUUCAUUAGCAAUGUAAACCAAGUGUGUCAGGUUCCCCAUCUGGUUCUUGACAAUAAUUUUGUUAGAUCAUCAAAAUAUAAGGCAAAGUCAUUGAAAACCCAUCACUUACCUAAAGGAAAAAGGAUCAAUUCCCACUUAUUACUUCCUUCAUAAAAAAUUCUAGAUCCGUCUCUAACUUCGUGCAUAUCAUAAAUGCAGAGUUUAUUGAAUACUGUUGUGAUCAAAAAAGUUGAGUCACUUGUUUGAUCUUCUUCUGUUACACAAAACAUAAAUGGGAUUGAUAAAAGUGAUACAAACGUAGUUCUGCUAAUUACAUGUGCAUAUACUAGCACAAUUAUACUACUUGUAGGAGUGCUUAGCAAUUGAUAAAUCUGUAGAUCUGAUAUAUUUAGACUUUAAAACGUUGUUCAAUUAGGCAAUAUGAUACGAUGAUAAUGAUAACCAUCAGUAUAUGGCUGAUAAUGCCACCAACAAGUCCUGCAUAGUACACCAUUUGAGCAAUCUGCAUCAGAACUGCAUUCUCUGUAACAAGCCCACUUAAAAAGUCAUUCGGAAUUAAUCUCAUUUUUGUCAUUGAUAUAGAUAGCGGCAAGUUUCCAUCGCUUUCAUCUUUGAGGUUCGAGUCAAAUCAACUGUAUAAUAUUUUGAUAUAACCAACGUCAAGUUCAAUUAUCAUAUGUACAUGUCUAUGUAAUACUCUUUUGUAACAAACUCAAUGUAAUAUAAGUGAGAUGUGGGUUUUUGUAAGCAGUGGCUGGAGGAAGAAUUUCCAUAAACCCGAAAUAUAAGUGAAAUAUAUGUACAUAAAUCCAAAAUAUACGUACGGCCCCCUAAAUCCGCCCCUGCUGAGCAGAAUAGCAUUUACGUAGGGCUUACCCCUACCAUGUCAAGGUAGAGUGGCUGUUUCAGGUAGACUCUCGACUCAGAAUAUGAAAAAAGAAAUAACGACAACAAACAUUAAUUACAACAAGAUACUAGAGAAGCAAACUAGAUUUUGUCUUAUAUAUAUGUAUGGUAUAAUUUUUCGGCCGUAGGGGGUUCUGGCCUCCUAAAUCUGUCCUUGCUAAGGAGGAUAAUAUGAAAGCAGGGCUUACCCAUACCACGGUGAAGGUAGAGAGGCUGUUUUAGAUAGACUCUUGGCUUAAAGAAAAAUGAAAAAAAAGUAGUGACAACAAAUAUUAACAACAAUAAGAUACUACGAUAACCGAAAAAAAAAGAAACAACACUAAUAAAAAUCAAAGAAUAAGAUCUUUUCCAACAAGAACAAAAGAAAAGAGAGGAAAAAGAGUAAAAGGCGGAGAAGAGUAAGUCAUUACCGGCAGUUGUUGUAAGGAGAAUGGAGAAGAAG